Molecule: ribosomal RNA, 240 nt
Filed under: uncultured bacterium
Lineage: Bacteria
Description: partial 16S ribosomal RNA
Rfam family: Bacterial small subunit ribosomal RNA
Source: RNAcentral
UAACCUGCCCAAGAGACUGGGAUAACACCUGGAAACAGAUGCUAAUACCGGAUAACAACACUAGACGCAUGUCUAGAGUUUAAAAGAUGGUUCUGCUAUCACUCUUGGAUGGACCUGCGGUGCAUUAGCUAGUUGGUAAGGCAACGGCUUACCAAGGCAAUGAUGCAUAGCCGAGUUGAGAGACUGAUCGGCCACAUUGGGACUGAGACACGGCCCAAACUCCUACGGGAGGCAGCAGGC